This 372-nucleotide unclassified non-coding RNA is filed under the name Hevea brasiliensis (rubber tree). The record is from RNAcentral. Lineage: Eukaryota; Viridiplantae; Streptophyta; Magnoliopsida; Malpighiales; Euphorbiaceae.
AGGGCAAUAUGCCUUAACAACAGGCCUAUUGGUUCCAUUUCAGUGACAAAGAAUUCAGGUAGUGAUAUAUGCAGAGGUGAACUUGGCUAUGUUCUGGCUGCUCAAUACUGGGGCAAGGGGAUUGCAACAAGGGCAGUGAAAAUGGCGGCCAAAACCAUUUUUAGCCAACGGCCAGAAAUGGAGAGACUUGAAGCCUUGGUAGAUGUAGAAAACGUGGGCUCUCAAAGGGUACUAGAGAAAGCUGGCUUCAUGAGAGAAGGUGUCCUAAGAAAGUAUUUUGUUCGGAAGGGAAGGUCUAGAGAUACGGUGAUGUUUAGUCUUCUUUCUACUGAUCCUGUAAUUUGAUUGUUAUUGUUUGCGCAAAAUUUGUCU